UCCAGACUCCUACGGGAGGCAGCAGUGAGGAAUAUUGGUCAAUGGGCGCGAGCCUGAACCAGCCAAGUCGCGUGAGGGAAGACGGUCCUAUGGAUUGUAAACCUCUUUUGUCGGGGAGCAAAAGCCGGACGUGUCCGUCUGUGAGAGUACCCGAAGAAAAAGCAUCGGCUAACUCCGUGCCAGCAGCCGCGGUAAUACGGAGGAUGCGAGCGUUAUCCGGAUUUAUUGGGUUUAAAGGGUGCGCAGGCGGAUUUUUAAGUCAGCGGUCAAAUCGUGGGGCUCAACCCCAUCCAGCCGUUGAAACUGGGGAUCUAGAGUGUGCGAGAGGUAUGCGGAAUGCGUGGUGUAGCGGCGAAAUGCUUAGAUAUCACGAAGAACCCCGAUUGCGAAGGCAGCCUGCCGCAGCGUUACUGACGCUGAAGCUCGAAAGCGCGGGUAUCGAACAGGAUUAGAUACCCGAGUA
This 463-nucleotide ribosomal RNA is filed under the name uncultured bacterium. Its description in RNAcentral is "bacterial SSU rRNA". It matches the Rfam family "Bacterial small subunit ribosomal RNA", at positions 330 to 792 of the family's 1533-position model. The record is from RNAcentral.